AUUGAACGAUGGCGGCAGGCAUAACACAUGCAAGUCGAACGAGUGGCGGACGGGUGAGUAAUGUCUGGGAAACUGCCCGAUGGAGGGGGAUAACUACUGGAAACGGUAGCUAAUACCGCAUACCAUCGGAUGUGCCCAGAUGGGAUUAGCUAGUAGGUGGGGUAACGGCUCACCUAGGCGCCGAUCCCUAGCUGGUCUGUGAGGAUGACCAGCCUCACUCUAACUGCUACACGGUCCAUACUCCUACCGGAGGCAGCAGUGUGGAAUACUUGACAAUGGGCGCAAGCCUGAUGCACCCAUGCCGCGUGUAUGAAGAAGGCCUUCGGGUUGUAAAGUACUUUCAGCGAGGAGGCGUUACUCGCAGAAGAAGCGCCGGCUAGCUCCGUGCCAGCCGCCGCGGUAAUUC
RNAcentral lists this ribosomal RNA (406 nucleotides) under uncultured bacterium. RNAcentral describes it as "partial 16S ribosomal RNA". It matches the Rfam family "Bacterial small subunit ribosomal RNA", at positions 30 to 526 of the family's 1533-position model. The record is from RNAcentral.